GCAAGUGGACCUCAUAAAGUAUGUCGUAGUCCGGAUUGGAGUCUGCAACUCGACUCCAUGAAGUCGGAAUCGCUAGUAAUCGUAGAUCAGAAUGCUACGGUGAAUACGUUCCCAGGCCUUGUACACACCGCCCGUCACACCAUGGGAGUGGGUUGCAAAAGAAGUAGGUAGCUUAACCUUCGGGAGGGCGCUUACCACUUUGUGAUUCAUGACUGGGGUGAAGUCGUAACAAGGUAACCGUAGGGGAACCUGCGGUUGGAUCACCUCCUUA
Molecule: ribosomal RNA, 271 nt
Filed under: Klebsiella pneumoniae
Lineage: Bacteria; Pseudomonadati; Pseudomonadota; Gammaproteobacteria; Enterobacterales; Enterobacteriaceae
Description: partial 16S ribosomal RNA
Rfam family: Bacterial small subunit ribosomal RNA
Source: RNAcentral